This 877-nucleotide long non-coding RNA is filed under the name Daphnia pulicaria. RNAcentral describes it as "uncharacterized LOC124350896, transcript variant X1". Lineage: Eukaryota; Metazoa; Arthropoda; Branchiopoda; Diplostraca; Daphniidae. The record is from RNAcentral.
AUUAGCAUGAUUCCAUUUAUAAUUGCGUAUCUAAGAGGACGUUACAUAGAGAGUGUUUAAGGAUUGAUCUACAGUAGUGUUAGUAGUUGUAAGGGGUACUCGUGACUAUUUCUUUAAUUCUUUCAGUCUUCAUUCUGCAGUGUUGUGUUGGCAAUGGAGGAGUAUGUUUGUCGGAUUUGUGUUUUGAUCAUCCGUGUGGACAAUCGGUUUGACUGAGUGUUUGCUUGUCAAGGAUGCAGACAUUGUGGAUUGAUCACCGUUUGGAGUUAAUUAUUUUGCAGUUGGUGAUGUGUUGGCGGUUUUUUUAUGAUGAGGAGAUGAUUAUUUAGUGAAGACCAUAUUACGAGGAAACAUGAAAGGGUCGUUGCCGUCGUGCCACCUACCGUCAUCUAUUUUAUUCAAAAUCUUUGUAUUCUUCUGAAUGUGCCAUCGAAAUGAUACAGAUCACCAACCCCAGCAUAGACCAAUCUCUCAUUUCAUCUUCUCGAGAGAAGAUUGGAUAACUGAUCAGCUGUGGUUUCAUGUGAUCUUAACUCCAGGUUUCUAAAUUUGCAUGGCAGACUUUAUGAGAAGUUGUGUCCUUUCAAGAAAGUCAACAAGGUCACUUGUUUACUAACCUUUUGGCUGCUACCCUUGAAUCUCCCGUUUUACUCUCUAAAGCGGGCCAUCUUAAUUUGAGGGUAAUCCUUCGCUACUUGUCAUUGACUUCAACCACUGGGGAAAACCGACGAGAGAAUGCUGUAAUCCAAGACUGAUAAAUUGUUUAAUCGUUAGAUUAAAUUAUAAGUGCUUAUCUGGGCUCCCUUCUUUUCUGUGGCCCCGUUUCCCUAUCUAACCACUAACCAAUGCCCGCCGGUGGUCACUCACCCGCUGUGAA